GAGCAAAAGGACGAAAGGGGUGAAAGAGGAGGGGAAGCUGGUGAAGAGAAAGAGAAAGAGACAGACAGAGGGACUACGCGAGAGACGUAAAGCCAGAGAGAGGAAAAGGGCGAGAGGUGGGACGAACUAGGGAAAUGCGUUAUCGUCUGCAGCCAGCUGACAAAUCGAAGGUAAUAGGGCCGAGCGGAAUUCUGCGUAGCAGAACGACCAAGAGCACUGCAUCUAGUAGGUACGUGGCUACAUACGUACAUAUGUACCAGGAUCACGUACGUGAUGUGCGCAUGUCGGAAUAUGUACUCGCACUACUAUGACUACGUGUAUAUAUCGCGCAGAAGCGCCGCGUAUGCGUAUACGUACACGUAAGCCUUGCGCCAGCGUGGCUGACUAUUCCUAGCCAAUACUACUGAAACAUGCUUGCAUUCAUAGAGUGCGCCGUGGACCAGCGGGAACAUUUAACGCUCAUUGUCUUCGGUUGACGGACUUCGGAAGCAUCUGCUCUUUGGUAAACUCGCGUUUCUAUGAGUUUCAAAUAGCGCGCCAAGGGGUUUCAAUUUCUAGAAAGUUCGACACCAGUGAAUCGCUUCUCUAUUGAAAAUUCGGUAUCUGUCAGUUUGCGUUGGCAUCGAUUUGUACUUUGAGUAAUAGCAGUCGUCUGUACAGUAUUUUAUUUUUCUGAUUUUCCUAGAUGUAUUAGCGUUGUUCGUUGCAGGAAAGUUUUAUAUUCGUUGUUUUUCCCGUUUUAUGCGUAUAAGGUUGAGUAUAAUGAACGUUUUGGUGGAUGUAUUUAUUUGCAUAUACAUAUAUGUGGAAAGACUAAGCUUCCAAACGUUUGUUAAUGGAAUAUUCGUUCGUAGACAUUUAAAGUAAUCGAUCACCGUAAGCCGGACACACAAGAAGAUGAAUUUUGAAUUCUUAAGUAGAUUUUCUUUAGAAUGUAAACUGAAAUUUAUACAAAAAUUAUCUAUCUCGCCGUCUCGAAACGAACCUAUUAACAAUACAUUUGUGUACUUGUGCAUUUUUAUAGUAUAUUGCAAUUUCUAACCUUACAAAGAAUUUGCACGUAUCUUUAAUACGUUGCGAGAUCUUGUGUAACACAAAUUAUGUAAGUUAGAUUAAAGCAAUGUUUGAUUUCGUACUCGCUGAAAGAAAAUAACCAACCGACCGAGUACAAAAGGUAACAAUAAUCAAGAUUCCUGGUGAUACGAAUGCAUAGGUGAAUCGGUGGUUGAAGCAAUUGGCUACUUUAACCUCUGCUCAACAGCAACUGGGAAAUGUAAGAUACACGGCGCGACUAGUUCCACCUCUGGCCGCAAUCCCGACAGGGUAUUGCAGCAUAGAGUAGCGAAUAACUGUAGCUCGUACAAGCGCGACGACGCGGCAUCGUGCCAGGAGUUGGUACUCUGGCACGACCCACGACCCCCGCAUUUUCCAACCCAGGUUCUGGCAUAGGCCGCGGCACUAGGCCGACGCAAGCCAUCGCCAAUGAGUGCAUGUCUGGGGCGGAGCAUGGUCGACACCGAGCAGACGCGAUUUCGACCUGCUUUAUACCUUCCACUAUGCACCCCGUUCCAAAAAGAAAGCCUUUCAGAAAUUAAUUAUUACUUGCCACUUUUACCUUCUUUUCUAACACUUUCUCCCGUAUAGACGUUUUGUUUGCACAAGCCGUGUAUACCUGUUGUUCCUCGAACGUCCAACGAGAUUUUAUUCGCAAUUGUAAACGGCACGAUAACGCAAUUGACAACAUCCAAAAAGGGAAGGAACCACCACCGAGCGUGAAAGUGCAUUCGUUCUGGUGUCGUCAUCGGCGUCGGCAGGCACAGACGUGACCUACUUGCGCUAUUGACCUGUUGGUGAUGCUGGUGGGCGAAGUGUUGAAAGGGGGAGACGUGGAUAAGAGGGAGAAGUCCGUCCAGGUGAAGGAAAUGGUGGAGGAUACCAGGUCGGGAGGACGGGUGGCGAAGGGGCGAGGGGACAGGGGCUGAAUGCACUUGACGCAUCAGAACACGGAGAGAACGAGCGACUGCCGCAUGCGGUCCCAGCGCGCGCAGCCUACUACUACUUAUCCUAUCCAUUCACUACACACAUACACACACAUACACGUGUAUUUCGUGUCUCUAGAAACAUGUGGGAUCUUUCUUCCUGAAGGACUGACCAAACUGCCAUUCGCUACGAUCGUCGUUCUUUUUAUUAUAAUUUCUCUUUCGAGCAUC
Long non-coding RNA from Bombus pascuorum, 2210 nucleotides. RefSeq lists it as uncharacterized. The record is from RefSeq and is a predicted model, not a curated record. Lineage: Eukaryota; Metazoa; Arthropoda; Insecta; Hymenoptera; Apidae. The transcript is spliced from 3 exons.